GAUGAACGCUGGCGGCGUGCCUAAUACAUGCAAGUCGAGCGAACGGACGAGAAGCUUGCUUCUCUGAUGUUAGCGGCGGACGGGUGAGUAACACGUGGAUAACCUACCUAUAAGACUGGGAUAACUUCGGGAAACCGGAGCUAAUACCGGAUAAUAUUUUGAACCGCAUGGUUCAAAAGUGAAAGACGGUCUUGCUGUCACUUAUAGAUGGAUCCGCGCUGCAUUAGCUAGUUGGUAAGGUAACGGCUUACCAAGGCAACGAUGCAUAGCCGACCUGAGAGGGGGACCGGCCACCCUGAAAUUGAGAACCGGUCCAACUCCCAACGGAGGGAAGAGGUGGGAAAUUUGCCGAAAGGGGCGAAAGCCUAAGGAGGCAACGCGGGGGGAGUGAUGAAGGUUUUGGGUUGGUAAAACGCUUUUAUUAGGAAAAAACAAAUGUAUAAAUAACUGUGCCACUUUGAACGGUACCUAAGAAGAAAGCCCCGGCAAACUACGG
Molecule: ribosomal RNA, 496 nt
Filed under: uncultured bacterium
Lineage: Bacteria
Description: partial 16S ribosomal RNA
Rfam family: Bacterial small subunit ribosomal RNA
Source: RNAcentral